GUCAUCACUGAAUUCUGCUGGGCUACCUGGAAUUGGCUUAGGGUGGGAUUACACAGACUCCAGCCACACAGAAUUUCCUUCUAUUUGGUCAGGGGGAGCAUCAUCCAGUGAGGACAUGUGUUAGUGAUCUCUCUUGCAUAAGCUAGGAAUUCCCUCAGGAUCCAUUUUUUCCAGGAGUUUUGAGAAAGGGACCGACGGCAAAGAGGAUGGUCCUUCCACUCCCAAGAGCAGCCGUAUUACUUAAAAACUAGAGAAAUGCAGGGACUCAAAACAACCCCGGUACAGCCUGUUCCCUCUUCCCGCAUAGGAUACGAGCCUGUGUGGGCCCUGAUUCCACAGUGCACUAAAGACCCGUGGCACCUGCAUCACUGGCGUAAAUGACAAGCUUCUGAAGUUCAGAUUCAUUAACACUGAGAGUGGUACCCAGUGGAUUUGUGGCAGGGACAGGGUUUUGCUAUGCUGUGCAGACUGGUCUCAAACUCCUAGGUUCAAGCCAUCUGCCUGCCUCAACUUCCUACAGUGCUAAGAUUACAGCCAUGAACUGCUGUGCCCAGCUAGGAAAUGCUUCAAACACUUGAGAUUUCUGAUUAACCAAACUGGCUAGCGUUGUGUCGAUUUGUCUCAAUUACUAAGGACUGCUGGAAUUUUGCUGGGAAUAUGUUUCGGGAAAGGACUUUCUGUCGCCUUCACACUUCCGCUCAGUGGCAAUGUUUUUCACGUUCAUUGACUAUCAACUGGUUGUCUACAACUCAAAUUACAUAAUGAAUCCAGCACAUAAAUUAUUUACCCAGAUUUAAUUCCAGCAACUGUUAUCUUUGUAUUUUUUUCCCCUCUGCCAGCUAAUCUGGCUCCUUUCAUUGGAAUUUUGGUCAUGCCCAUUCUCCUUCUGCACUAAAUUAUCUCCAUAACAUAGUAUAAACAGAACAAGCUUGUGUGUGAUAUGCUUAACUGUUAAUUUACCUAAUUAAACUAAUUCAAUUAAAUCAUUUACAUCUUUUUGGUAACAUGCCAGUUGAUACCACAGCAGAAGUGGGAUGUUUCAGAAGAUGAUUGUUCAGCAAAUGAAUGGGGGAAAAAACACACACAAAAUGAGACAACCGUCCAAAUCUCUUGGCUUGAAAAUUAAAUGAUACUGAAAAAAGGCAGCUUCCAAGGGGUACCGUAACUAGGUAUUUUUCUUAAAUCAAUUUUCUCUAGAAAUUUGUAUUUUAACACAGUGAUGGCAAUGUAUUGUGUAAGAUAUCUUAAACACUAUUUGUACAUUCACAAAUUUGGUAUGUUUAAGUAAUGUGUACUUGUUCCC
Long non-coding RNA from Saimiri boliviensis boliviensis (Bolivian squirrel monkey), 1303 nucleotides. RefSeq lists it as uncharacterized. Lineage: Eukaryota; Metazoa; Chordata; Mammalia; Primates; Cebidae. The record is from RefSeq and is a predicted model, not a curated record.